Molecule: ribosomal RNA, 492 nt
Filed under: uncultured bacterium
Lineage: Bacteria
Description: partial 16S ribosomal RNA
Rfam family: Bacterial small subunit ribosomal RNA
Source: RNAcentral
AGUGAACGCUGGCGGUAGGCCUAACACAUGCAAGUCGAACGGCAGCACAGUAAGAUCUUGCUCUUACGGGUGGCGAGUGGCGGACGGGUGAGGAAUACAUCGGAAUCUACUUUUUCGUGGGGGAUAACGUAGGGAAACUUACGCUAAUACCGCAUACGACCUACGGGUGAAAGCAGGGGAUCUUCGGACCUUGCGCGAUUGAAUGAGCCGAUGUCGGAUUAGCUAGUUGGCGGGGUAAAGGCCCACCAAGGCGACGAUCCGUAGCUGGUCUGAGAGGAUGAUCAGCCACACUGGAAGUGAGACACGGUCCAGACUACUACGGGAGGCAGCAGUGGGGAAUAUUGGACCAUGGGCGGAAGCCUGAUCCAGCAAUACCGCGUGGGUGAAGAAGGCCUUCGGGUUGUAAAGCCCUUUUGUUGGGAGAGAAGAGCAGCAGGUUAAUACCCCGCUGUUCUGACGGUACCCAAAGAAUAAGCACCGGCUAACUUCGUG